AGCGAACGCUGGCGGCAGGCUUAACACAUGCAAGUCGAGCGGGCACUUUCGGGUGUCAGCGGCGGACGGGUGAGUAACGCGUGGGAACGUGCCCUCUGGUUCGGAAUAACUCAGGGAAACUUGAGCUAAUACCGGAUACGCCCUUUUGGGGAAAGGCUUGCUGCCGGAGGAUCGGCCCGCGUCUGAUUCGCUAGUUGGUGAGGUAACGGCUCACCAAGGCGACGAUCAGUAGCUGGUCUGAGAGGAUGACCAGCCACACUGGGACUGAGACACGGCCCAGACUCCUACGGGAGGCAGCAGUGGGGAAUAUUGGACAAGGGGCGCAAGCCUGAUCCAGCCAUGCCGCGUGAGUGAUCAAGGCCUUAGGGUUGUAAAGCUCUUUUAUCCGGGACGAUAAUGACGGUACCGGAGGAAUAAGCCCCGGCUAACUUCGUG
RNAcentral lists this ribosomal RNA (435 nucleotides) under uncultured bacterium. Its description in RNAcentral is "partial 16S ribosomal RNA". It matches the Rfam family "Bacterial small subunit ribosomal RNA", at positions 29 to 507 of the family's 1533-position model. The record is from RNAcentral.